Molecule: non-coding RNA, 92 nt
Organism: Mycena galericulata
Lineage: Eukaryota; Fungi; Basidiomycota; Agaricomycetes; Agaricales; Mycenaceae
Source: the annotation of a GenBank genome assembly
UCGGACAUGGUGUAAUGGAUAGCACAGCUUCGGACAUCAUCCCGAUGGGACGGGAUUGGAAGCAGACCAAGGUUCAAUUCCUUGUGUCCUGG